RNAcentral lists this ribosomal RNA (253 nucleotides) under uncultured bacterium. RNAcentral's name for it is "partial 16S ribosomal RNA". It matches the Rfam family "Bacterial small subunit ribosomal RNA", at positions 524 to 776 of the family's 1533-position model. The record is from RNAcentral.
UACGUAGGGUGCGAGCGUUAAUCGGAAUUACUGGGCGUAAAGUGUGCGCAGGCGGCCGCGCAAGUCGAGUGUGAAAUCCCCGAGCUUAACUUGGGAAUUGCGCUCGAAACUACGUGGCUGGAGUGUGGCAGAGGAAGGUGGAAUUCCACGUGUAGCGGUGAAAUGCGUAGAUAUGUGGAGGAACACCGAUGGCGAAGGCAGCCUUCUGGGCCAAUACUGACGCUCAUGCACGAAAGCGUGGGGAGCAAACAGG